GUGGGGAAUAUUGGACAAUGGGCGAAAGCCUGAUCCAGCCAUGCCGCUUGUGUGAAGAAGGUCUUCGGAUUGUAAAGCACUUUAAGUUGGGAGGAAGGGCAGUAAGUUAAUACCUUGCUGUUUUGACGUUACCGACAGAAUAAGCACCGGCUAACUUCGUGCCAGCAGCCGCGGUAAUACGAAGGGUGCAAGCGUUAAUCGGAAUUACUGGGCGUAAAGCGCGCGUAGGUGGUUUUGUAAGUUGGAGGUGAAAUCCCCGAGCUCAACCUGGGAACUGCAUCCGAAACUGCAUGACUAGAGUACGGUAGAGGGUAGUGGAAUUUCCUGUGUAGCGGUGAAAUGCGUAGAUAUAGGAAGGAACACCAGUGGCGAAGGCGACUACCUGGACUGAUACUGACACUGAGGUGCGAAAGCGUGGGGAGCAAACAGGAUUAGAUACCCUUGUAGUCC
This 450-nucleotide ribosomal RNA is filed under the name uncultured bacterium. RNAcentral's name for it is "partial 16S ribosomal RNA". It matches the Rfam family "Bacterial small subunit ribosomal RNA", at positions 354 to 796 of the family's 1533-position model. The record is from RNAcentral.